GACGAACGCUGGCGGCGUGCUUAACACAUGCAAGUCGAACGGAAAGGCCCUGCUUUUGUGGGGUGCUCGAGUUGCGAACUGGUGAGUAACACGUGAGUAACCUGCCCUUGACUUUGGGAUAACUUCAGGAAACUGGGGCUAAUACCGGAUAGGAGCUCCUGCUUCAUGGUGGGGGUUGGAAAGUUUCGGCGGUUGGGGAUGGACUCGCGGCUUAUCAGCUUGUUGGUGGGGUAGUGGCUUACCAAGGCUUUGACGGGUAGCCGGCCUGAUAGGGUGACCGGCCACAUUGGGACUGAGAUGCGGCACAGACUCCUACGGGAGGCAGCAGUGGGGAAUAUUGCACAAUGGGCGGAAGCCUGAUGCAGCACAGCCGCGUGCGGGAUGACGGCCUUCGGGUUGUAAACCGCUUUCGCCUGUGACGAAGCGUGAGUGACGGUAAUGGGUAAAGAAGCACCGGCUAACUACGUG
This 468-nucleotide ribosomal RNA is filed under the name uncultured bacterium. Its description in RNAcentral is "partial 16S ribosomal RNA". It matches the Rfam family "Bacterial small subunit ribosomal RNA", at positions 28 to 507 of the family's 1533-position model. The record is from RNAcentral.